UGGGGAAUAUUGGACAAUGGGGGCAACCCUGAUCCAGCAAUGCCGCGUGUGUGAAGAAGGCCUGCGGGUUGUAAAGCACUUUUGUUGGGGAGGAAACGGCUUAUGUGAAUAGCAUGAGCGACUGACGCUACCCAAAGAAGAAGCACCGGCUAACUCUGUGCCAGCAGCCGCGGUAAUACAGAGGGUGCGAGCGUUAAUCGGAAUUACUGGGCGUAAAGCGCACGUAGGCGGUUAUUUAAGAUGGGUGUGAAACCCCUGGGCUCAACCUAGGAAUUGCAUUCAAGACUGGGUAACUAGAGUACAGUAGAGGGUAGUGGAAUUUCCGGUGUAGCGGUGAAAUGCGUAGAUAUCGGAAGGAACACCAGUGGCGAAGGCGGCUACCUGGACUGAUACUGACGCUGAGGAGCGAAAGCGUGGGGAGCAAACAGGAUUAGAUACCCCAGUAGUCCCUGAGCGGGCUGGCAAGGCGCAU
Molecule: ribosomal RNA, 472 nt
Filed under: uncultured bacterium
Lineage: Bacteria
Description: bacterial SSU rRNA
Rfam family: Bacterial small subunit ribosomal RNA
Source: RNAcentral